UGAGUUAACAACCCAACCAAGUUACUUGACUCAACUUAUCCUCUAACACCAUAAACAAACUUUACAUUCUCAAGGCAAUCGACAUGUUUAACAGGAUUGAUCAUGUUUCUUUAUCAAUAAUGUUAUGUUACUUCACACCCUCCUAGUUUAGACACACAAUAGCUGCAGCAUGGAGAUUCAAGCUCCUUGGUAUCUUUCUAUUCUGCAUGAAACAAUGAUAUUUUGUUUUAUGUUAUAGUUAAUCUAUCAACAAGAAUACAUGG
RNAcentral lists this long non-coding RNA (263 nucleotides) under Brassica napus (rape). RNAcentral describes it as "long non-coding RNA (BNAP_LNC004676)". The record is from RNAcentral. Lineage: Eukaryota; Viridiplantae; Streptophyta; Magnoliopsida; Brassicales; Brassicaceae.